CGCGAAGAACCUUACCCAGACUUGACAUCUCCUGCAUUACCCUUAAUCGGGGAAGUUCCUUCGGGAACAGGAAGACAGGUGGUGCAUGGUUGUCGUCAGCUCGUGUCGUGAGAUGUUGGGUUAAGUCCCGCAACGAGCGCAACCCUUAUUGUUAGUUGCUACCAUUUAGUUGAGCACUCUAGCGAGACUGCCCGGGUUAACCGGGAGGAAGGUGGGGAUGACGUCAAAUCAUCAUGCCCCUUAUGUCUAGGGCUACACACGUGCUACAAUGGCAAGUACAAAGAGAAGCAAGACCGCGAGGUGGAGCAAAACUCAAAAACUUGUCUCAGUUCGGAUUGUAGGCUGAAACUCGCCUACAUGAAGCUGGAGUUGCUAGUAAUCGCGAAUCAGCAUGUCGCGGUGAAUACGUUCCCGGGUCUUGUACACACC
RNAcentral lists this ribosomal RNA (429 nucleotides) under uncultured bacterium. Its description in RNAcentral is "bacterial SSU rRNA". It matches the Rfam family "Bacterial small subunit ribosomal RNA", at positions 960 to 1391 of the family's 1533-position model. The record is from RNAcentral.